UUUAGAUGGCGACCGGCGCACGGGUGAGUAACACGUAUCCAACCUGCCCUUUACUCGGGGAUAGCCUUUCGAAAGAAAGAUUAAUACCCGAUAGCAUAAUGAUUCCGCAUGGUUUCAUUAUUAAAGGAUUCCGGUAAAGGAUGGGGAUGCGUUCCAUUAGGUUGUUGGUGAGGUAACGGCUCACCAAGCCUUCGAUGGAUAGGGGUUCUGAGAGGAAGGUCCCCCACAUUGGAACUGAGACACGGUCCAA
This 250-nucleotide ribosomal RNA is filed under the name uncultured bacterium. RNAcentral's name for it is "partial 16S ribosomal RNA". It matches the Rfam family "Bacterial small subunit ribosomal RNA", at positions 83 to 334 of the family's 1533-position model. The record is from RNAcentral.